This 71-nucleotide transfer RNA is filed under the name Loxodonta africana (African savanna elephant). It matches the Rfam family "tRNA". From Rfam's summary of the family: Transfer RNA (tRNA) molecules are approximately 80 nucleotides in length. Lineage: Eukaryota; Metazoa; Chordata; Mammalia; Proboscidea; Elephantidae. The record is from Rfam by way of RNAcentral.
GCAGUGGUGGUUCAGUGGUAGAAUUCUCACCUUUCACUCGGAAGACCUGGGUUCAAGUCCCAGCCAAUGCA